RNAcentral lists this ribosomal RNA (439 nucleotides) under uncultured bacterium. RNAcentral's name for it is "bacterial SSU rRNA". It matches the Rfam family "Bacterial small subunit ribosomal RNA", at positions 68 to 524 of the family's 1533-position model. The record is from RNAcentral.
GAGCGGCCCGGCCUUCUGGGUACCGAGCGGCGAACGGGUGCCUACACGUGACGCACCUGCCCCUGGCUCUGGGAUAGCCUCCGUGAAACGGGGAUUAUACCCGAUAUGACUGCUCCCUGCAUGGGGGGUGGUGGAAAGUUUUUCGGCUGGGGCGGGGCUCGCGGCCUAUCAGCUUGUUGGGGGGGUGACGGCCCACCAAUGCGACGACUGGUAGCCGGCCUGAUAUGGCGAUCGGCCAUUCUGGGACUGAUACACUGUCCAUACUCCUGCGGGAUGCAUCUGUGGGGAAUAUUGCGCAAUGGGCGGAAUCCUGACUCAUCGACUCCGUGUGGGGGAUGAAGGCCUUCGGGUUGUAAACCUCUUUCACCAGUGACGAUUCGGAUGUGACUGUACCUGUGGAAUAUGCGCCGGCUAACUACGUGCCAUCAGCCGCGGUAAU